This 571-nucleotide small RNA is filed under the name Pongo abelii (Sumatran orangutan). RNAcentral describes it as "retained intron". Lineage: Eukaryota; Metazoa; Chordata; Mammalia; Primates; Hominidae. The record is from RNAcentral.
AUUGCAUUCCUGGCGUUCCGGCUUGGGGUCUCCAACCUCACACGGCUUUGCCUUUGUCUCUGCAGCCCAGCCCGUGUUGUACUGGUGUGCCCGCAACAUGUCUUUCUGGAGCAGCAUUUCGUUUAACCUGGCCGUCCUGAUGAACCUGCUUGUGGCGUUUUUCUACCCAUUUAAGGGAGUCCGAGGAGGAACCCUGGAGCCCCACUGGUCGGGACUCCUGUGGACAGCCAUGCUCAUCUCUCUGGCCAUCGUCAUUGCCCUCCCCAAGCCCCAUGGCAUCCGGGCCUUAAUUGCCUCCACAAUUCUACGAUUGAUAUUUUCAGUCGGGUUACAACCCACGUUGUUUCUUCUGGGCGCUUUCAAUGUAUGCAAUAAAAUCAUCUUUCUAAUGAGCUUUGUGGGCAACUGUGGGACAUUCACAAGAGGCUACCGAGCCAUGGUUCUGGAUGUUGAGUUCCUGUAUCAUUUGUUAUAUCUGGUGAUCUGUGCCAUGGGGCUCUUUGUCCAUGAAUUCUUCUACAGUCUGCUGCUUUUUGAUUUAGUGUACAGAGAAGAGACUUUGCUUAAUGUC